Phytophthora infestans T30-4 is the source of this 71-nucleotide transfer RNA. It matches the Rfam family "tRNA". From Rfam's summary of the family: Transfer RNA (tRNA) molecules are approximately 80 nucleotides in length. Their secondary structure includes four short double-helical elements and three loops (D, anti-codon, and T loops). Lineage: Eukaryota; Oomycota; Peronosporomycetes; Peronosporales; Peronosporaceae. The record is from Rfam.
GCCCUGUAAACUUAGUGGUCGAGUGUUGGCUUUGGAAGCCACAGGUCGGUGUUCAAUUCCACCCGGGCGCA